This 467-nucleotide ribosomal RNA is filed under the name uncultured bacterium. RNAcentral describes it as "bacterial SSU rRNA". It matches the Rfam family "Bacterial small subunit ribosomal RNA", at positions 28 to 491 of the family's 1533-position model. The record is from RNAcentral.
GAUUAACGCUAGCGGGAGGCCUAAUACAUGCAAGUCGAGGGGCAGCACGGAUAGCAAUAUCUGGUGGCGACCGGCGCACGGGUGAGUAACGCGUACGCAAUCUACCCUUAACAGGAGGAUACCCAGAGGAAACUCUGACUAAUACUCCAUAACAUUGCAGAUUCGCAUGAAUCAGCAAUUAAAACUCCGGUGGUUAAGGAUGAGCGUGCGUCUGAUUAGCUAGUUGGUGAGGUAACGGCUCACCAAGGCUACGAUCAGUAGCUGGUCUGAGAGGAUGAUCAGCCACACUGGGACUGAGACACGGCCCAGACUCCUACGGGAGGCAGCAGUAGGGAAUAUUGGACAAUGGGCGAAAGCCUGAUCCAGCCAUCCCGCGUGCAGGAUUAAGGCCCUAUGGGUUGUAAACUGCUUUUAUCAGGAAGAAACCGAGAGAUUCAUCUCACGUUGACGGUACCUGAUGAAUAAGC